RNAcentral lists this ribosomal RNA (876 nucleotides) under uncultured bacterium. Its description in RNAcentral is "bacterial SSU rRNA". It matches the Rfam family "Bacterial small subunit ribosomal RNA", at positions 1 to 890 of the family's 1533-position model. The record is from RNAcentral.
GGCUUAGAGUUUGAUCAUGGCUCAGGACGAACGCUGGCGGCGCGCCUAACACAUGCAAGUCGAACGGGGUUGAGAGGAGCUUGCUUUUCUUGACUUAGUGGCGAACGGGUGAGUAACGCGUGAGGAACCUGCCUCAAAGAGGGGGACAACAGUUGGAAACGACUGCUAAUACCGCAUAAGCCCACGGUUCUGCAUGGAACUGAGGGAAAAGGAGCAAUCCGCUUUGAGAUGGCCUCGCGUCCGAUUAGCUAGUUGGUGAGGUAACGGCCCACCAAGGCGACGAUCGGUAGCCGGACUGAGAGGUUGAACGGCCACAUUGGGACUGAGACACGGCCCAGACUCCUACGGGAGGCAGCAGUGGGGAAUAUUGCACAAUGGGGGAAACCCUGAUGCAGCGACGCCGCGUGGAGGAAGAAGGUCUUCGGAUUGUAAACUCCUGUUGUUGGGGAAAAAGAGGAUGGUACCCAACAAGGAAGUGACGGCUAACUACGUGCCAGCAGCCGCGGUAAAACGUAGGUCACAAGCGUUGUCCGGAAUUACUGGGUGUAAAGGGAGCGCAGGCGGGUAUGCAAGUUGGGAGUGAAAUACAUGGGCUCAACCCACGAACUGCUCUCAAAACUGUGUAUCUUGAGUAGUGCACAGGUAGGCGGAAUUCCCGGUGUAGCGGUGGAAUGCGUAGAUAUCGGGAGGAACACCAGUGGCGAAGGCGGCCUACUGGGCACCAACUGACGCUGAGGCUCGAAAGUGUGGGUAGCAAACAGGAUUAGAUACCCUGGUAGUCCACACCGUAAACGAUGAUUACUAGGUGUUGGAGGAUAGACCCCUUCAGUGCCGCAGUUAACACAAUAAGUAAUCCACCUGGGGAGUACGACCGCA